UACGUAGGGCGCAAGCGUUAUCCGGAAUUAUUGGGCGUAAAGAGCUCGUAGGCGGCUUGUCACGUCUGCUGUGAAAACUCGGGGCUCAACCCCGAGCCUGCAGUGGAUACGGGCUAGCUAGAGUUCGGUAGGGGAGACUGGAAUUCCUGGUGUAGCGGUGAAAUGCGCAGAUAUCAAGGAGGAACACCGGUGGCGAAGGCGGGUCUCUGGGCCGAUGACUGACGCUGAGGAGCGAAAGCGUGGGGAGCGA
RNAcentral lists this ribosomal RNA (250 nucleotides) under uncultured bacterium. Its description in RNAcentral is "partial 16S ribosomal RNA". It matches the Rfam family "Bacterial small subunit ribosomal RNA", at positions 524 to 771 of the family's 1533-position model. The record is from RNAcentral.